GCGGCCGCCAUGUUCUCUGUGUGUCUUUGUCUUUUGUGUGUUCUUUCAUUCUCCACCACCCCCGGCACGGACCCCAACAAGUGGCGCAGCGAGCAGGGUCAGCACGGGGAGUCGCCUGGGAGGAGGCAGAAAUUAAGGUUUUCACCCAUAACAUUACUUGGAUGCCGUCCCCCUAUAUGGACAAGGACAACAUAGAACGGGAAACAGCAAUUAUAAUCAGCACAUACCAAUUUGGAGUGGAAGGACUUCCAAUAUAUAUGGGAAAUAGUCCUCAUUGUCUCCGAAAAUCGCAUGAAGCUUGGGCUGUUCGUUAUAAUCAUAGUCAUGUGGCUGCUAAUACUGUUAUUAUUGUAACUAGAAGUUUUUAAUAUAAUCAUACUGUAUAUAGUAACGAAACUAUUCCUAGUUCUUUACUUUUUUGUCCUAUUCUAGAGGUUUCUCCUAAUAUUGAGGUGCUGGAGUGACAACAAUGUCAGGGAACUAAACCCUGGAUUUUAUUAGAAUACAAUGGGAUGCAAAUAACUGAUUGAAGUGUGCACGGUGAUUUUCAAACAAAAUUUAGUCACAUACCUUUGAAAUGACACUGGGUAAAUAAAAGUAUUGCUGCUAACAGUAAUGAAACCUUGGUAUGGCGUGAAGGAGGCCUGAAGUACAGAGUUAUUUUUAGAAGUUGUUAGUUGCAGGCGAUGCCAUUAGCACUUUUGUGGGGAAUAUGCCCCUUAAUCUUUCUAACCCGAAUAACUCCUUUCAUAUUCAGUUAUAUCAAAAUACCUCCUGAUAUAUUAUUGCUUGUGUCCGUAAGCCCUACCUAUUAUUAGCAGGGAAUUUGACAUGGGAUAAUGAUACGGGGAUUGUUAAUUGUACAGAUACGUGUACAUUUUUGUCUUGCCUCAAUCAUUCCUGGUGGCACAACUUUACUGAGGAUAUUUAUAACCUCAGGGCUCGUAGGGAAAUUUGGCUGCCUGUUAACCUUACAUGACCAUGGGGGGCAUCACCUCUUGAGACUUAUAUUUGGACUUCUCUCCAGCAAACCCUCCGUGCCCUUGGACUUAUAAUUGCCUCGGUGAUGAGCCUUGUUGCCAUCGUCUCCACUGUGGCCGUAGCAGGGCUCGCUCUUCAUCAAAGCAUACAAAAUGCUGAAUUUGUGCAGCAAUGGCACGAGCAAUCUCACCGGUUAUGGCUUCAACAACG
Molecule: long non-coding RNA, 1191 nt
Filed under: Macaca fascicularis (crab-eating macaque)
Lineage: Eukaryota; Metazoa; Chordata; Mammalia; Primates; Cercopithecidae
Description: lncRNA (ENSMFAG00000065253.1)
Source: RNAcentral